CUCUAAUCUUUUUGGAAUCAUUUCAAAAGAUUCAAAAAGAUUCGAAAAGAUUCGAGGUGAUUCGGCGGGAUUAACAGAAAAACAGGCGGCCGUCAGUCAUUUACAAAAUACUGGAUCAUUUCGUCCAGUGUUUGUUUUGAUUUUGUAUAAGAAGCCGAUCGGAUUGCUGACCAUGGGAAAGAAAAUUGUUUUCCAUUUGGUGGACUGAAAGCCCAGCAAUGCGCCCGAUUAAUGUGCCGUCGUUAAAUCUGCACCGUGAGUAGCCGAUGCCAAAGGUAUACCUACGCGACGACAAGGAUCCGCGUAGUAGAAGAAGGUCCGUCGCGAUCGAUUCCACCGCCUCCACCAGCAGAGCGGGCUCAAUACCGAAACUCCCGAAUCAAACCGAACCGGAUGGGUACCGGAGUACCCUGUGGAGGUACGUCAGCCAAAUCCACCAGGCCCCAACAAGCACAAGGAAAAUGCCGAAAUGGUUUCCAGUCGGUCGGACUCACCGUCUGCUCAUGAAAAGCAACUAUGAUGAACGUAUUGGUGACGGUAUUCCCGUCUGUUUGGUUGCAGUGAUGGAAUAAUAUUCAGAUUAUCUGUCUGCUGAAGUCCUGGAAUUGACAGGUGAUUACCGCUCGUGAUAACAAGAAGCCCCGAAUCACGAAUGACUGAAGCAUUAGUGCUCUAACGAACCGUAGAAACCUUGAUGGGAAUAGUCGCAGCUGAACCA
Long non-coding RNA from Aedes albopictus (Asian tiger mosquito), 718 nucleotides. RefSeq lists it as uncharacterized. Lineage: Eukaryota; Metazoa; Arthropoda; Insecta; Diptera; Culicidae. The transcript is spliced from 2 exons. The record is from RefSeq and is a predicted model, not a curated record.